AGUGCAUGUGGUGGAUGCCUUGGCAGUCAGAGGCGAUGAAAGACGUGAUAGCCUGCGAAAAGCUCCGGGGAGGCGGCAAAUAUCCUUUGAUCCGGAGAUGUCUGAAUGGGGGAACCCACCUACUUUAAGGUAGGUAUUGCAACAUGAAUACAUAGUGUUGCAAGGCGAACGAGGGGAAGUGAAACAUCUCAGUACCCUUAGGAAAAGAAAUCAAUUGAGAUUCCCUCAGUAGCGGCGAGCGAACGGGGAUCAGCCCAUUAAGUUAUGUGUGUUUUAGUGGAACGCUCUGGGAAGUGCGAACGUAGAGGGUGAUAUUCCCGUACACGAAAGGGCACACAUAAUGAUGACGAGUAGGGCGAGGCACGUGAAACCUUGUCUGAAUAUGGGGGGACCAUCCUCCAAGGCUAAAUACUCCUGACUGACCGAUAGUGAACCAGUACCGUGAGGGAAAGGCGAAAAGAACCCCUGUGAGGGGAGUGAAAUAGAUCCUGAAACCGCAUGCAUACAAGCAGUGGGAGCACCUUCGUGGUGUGACUGCGUACCUUUUGUAUAAUGGGUCAGCGACUUAUAUUCAGUAGCGAGGUUAACCGUAUAGGGGAGCCGUAGAGAAAUCGAGUCUUAAUAGGGCGUUUAGUUGCUGGGUAUAGACCCGAAACCAGGCGAUCUAUCCAUGAGCAGGUUGAAGGUUGGGUAACACUAACUGGAGGACCGAACCCACUGUCGUUGAAAAGCCAGGGGAUGACUUGUGGAUAGGGGUGAAAGGCUAAUCAAGCCUGGUGAUAGCUGGUUCUCCCCGAAAGCUAUUUAGGUAGCGCCUCGGACGAAUACCAUAGGGGGUAGAGCACUGUUUCGGCUAGGGGGUCAUCCCGACUUACCAAACCGAUGCAAACUCCGAAUACCUAUGAGUACUAUCCGGGAGACAGACUGCGGGUGCUAACGUCCGUAGUCAAGAGGAAAACAAUCCAGACCGCCAGCUAAGGCCCCAAAAUCAUAGUUAAGUGGGAAACGAUGUGGGAAGGCAUAGACAGCUAGGAGGUUGGCUUAGAAGCAGCCACCCUUUAAAGAAAGCGUAAUAGCUCACUAGUCGAGUCGGCCUGCGCGGAAGAUGUAACGGGGCUAAAACUAUGUGCCGAAGCUGCGGAUGUAUACUUUGUAUACGUGGUAGGGGAGCGUUCUGUAAGCCGAUGAAGGUGUGUUGAGAAGCAUGCUGGAGGUAUCAGAAGUGCGAAUGCUGACGUGAGUAACGACAAAACGGGUGAAAAACCCGUUCGCCGAAAGACCAAGGGUUCCAGUCCAACGUUAAUCGGGGCUGGGUGAGUCGACCCCUAAGGCGAGGCCGAAAGGCGUAGUCGAUGGGAAAAUGGUUAAUAUUCCAUUACUUCUGUGUAAUGCGAUGAGAGGACGGAGAAGGCUAAAUCAGCCUGGCGUUGGUUGUCCAGGUGAAAGGAUGUAGGCAUGUAUCUUAGGCAAAUCCGGGGUACUCUAUGCUGAGAUCUGAUAGCAAGCUGUACUUGUACAGCGAAGUGGUUGAUGCCAUGCUUCCAGGAAAAGUCUCUAAGCUUCAGUUACACAGGAAUCGUACCCGAAACCGACACAGGUGGUCAGGUCGAGUAGACCAAGGCGCUUGAGAGAACUCUGCUGAAGGAACUAGGCAAAAUGGUACCGUAACUUCGGGAGAAGGUACGCUGUUGUUGGUGAUGGAACUCGCUUCCUGAGCUGACGACAGCCGCAGAAACCAGGCCGCUGCAACUGUUUAUUAAAAACAUAGCACUCUGCAAACACGAAAGUGGACGUAUAGGGUGUGAUGCCUGCCCGGUGCUGGAAGGUUAAUUGAUGGGGUUAGCGUAAGCGAAGCUCUUGAUCGAAGCCCCAGUAAACGGCGGCCGUAACUAUAACGGUCCUAAGGUAGCGAAAUUCCUUGUCGGGUAAGUUCCGACCUGCACGAAUGGCAUAAUGAUGGCGGCGCUGUCUCCAGCAGAGGCUCAGUGAAAUCGAAAUCGCUGUGAAGAUGCAGUGUACCCGCGGCUAGACGGAAAGACCCCGUGAACCUUUACUGCAGCUUGACACUGAACUUUGACCUUACUUGUGUAGGAUAGGUGGGAGGCUUUGAAGCUGGAACGCUAGUUCCAGUGGAGCCGUCCUUGAAAUACCACCCUGGUAAUGUUGAGGUUCUAACUCUGUCCCGUGAUCCGGGACGAGGACCGUGUCUGGUGGGUAGUUUGACUGGGGCGGUCUCCUCCUAAAGAGUAACGGAGGAGUACGAAGGUGCGCUCAGCGUGGUCGGAAAUCACGCGUAGAGUAUAAAGGCAAAAGCGCGCUUAACUGCGAGACCCACAAGUCGAGCAGGUACGAAAGUAGGUCUUAGUGAUCCGGUGGUUCUGUAUGGAAGGGCCAUCGCUCAACGGAUAAAAGGUACUCUGGGGAUAACAGGCUGAUACCGCCCAAGAGUUCAUAUCGACGGCGGUGUUUGGCACCUCGAUGUCGGCUCAUCUCAUCCUGGGGCUGAAGCAGGUCCCAAGGGUAUGGCUGUUCGCCAUUUAAAGAGGUACGCGAGCUGGGUUUAGAACGUCGUGAGACAGUUCGGUCCCUAUCUACCGUGGGCGCUGGAAAUUUGAGAGGAUCUGCUCCUAGUACGAGAGGACCAGAGUGGACGAACCUCUGGUGUACCGGUUGUGACGCCAGUCGCAUCGCCGGGUAGCUAUGUUCGGAAGGGAUAACCGCUGAAAGCAU
This 2730-nucleotide ribosomal RNA is filed under the name Acinetobacter baumannii 44839_8. RNAcentral's name for it is "bacterial LSU rRNA". It matches the Rfam family "Bacterial large subunit ribosomal RNA". The record is from RNAcentral. Lineage: Bacteria; Pseudomonadati; Pseudomonadota; Gammaproteobacteria; Moraxellales; Moraxellaceae.